GUCGAGAAUUUUUCACAAUGGGCGCAAGCCUGAUGGAGCGACGCCGCGUGGGGGAUGAAUGGCUUCGGCCCGUAAACCCCUGUCAUUCGGGAUCAAUGCGCCCGGGUUAACACCCCGGAUGUUGAUAGUACCGGAAGAGGAAGGGACGGCUAACUCUGUGCCAGCAGCCGCGGUAAUACAGAGGUCCCAAGCGUUGUUCGGAUUUACUGGGCGUAAAGGGUGCGUAGGCGGUCGGUCAAGUCUGAUGUGAAAUUUCGGAGCCCAACUCCGAAACGGCAUUGGAUACUGUCCGGCUCGAGGUUGGGAAGGGAGACUGGAAUUCUCGGUGUAGCAGUGAAAUGCGUAGAUAUCGAGAGGAACACCAGUGGCGAAGGCGAGUCUCUGGACCAAUCCUGACGCUGAGGCACGAAAGCCAGGGGAGCAAACGGGAUUAGAUACCCUAGUAGUCC
This 449-nucleotide ribosomal RNA is filed under the name uncultured bacterium. RNAcentral describes it as "bacterial SSU rRNA". It matches the Rfam family "Bacterial small subunit ribosomal RNA", at positions 354 to 796 of the family's 1533-position model. The record is from RNAcentral.